This is a small nuclear RNA of Dromiciops gliroides (monito del monte), 124 nucleotides long. The record is from RefSeq and is a predicted model, not a curated record. Lineage: Eukaryota; Metazoa; Chordata; Mammalia; Microbiotheria; Microbiotheriidae.
GUGUUGUAUGAAAGGAGAGAAGGUUAGCACUCUUCUUGAUAAGGAUGGAAGAGGUCCUAGUGGCCUUUACAAUACAUAUACAGAGAAAUCCAUUACUCUGAAGCUCAUGUGGUUAUAGGUUUUU